CCGGUAAGUCAAUGGAAAAGUCCAAAUCUUUUAGUCUGUUGUAUUCCUGGGAGACAUUUUGCAGCUCUUUCCUCUCUUCUACAAGUGACCUAACUUUGUCAAUGAUAUCGAGAGACUGACCUUCCUCAGGUGCAUCUAUGUUUGACAAGAUGGUUUCAAUAUUCUCAAUGACAGAGCUCCUUGAGGACACCAUUUCCUGAAAUGACGCAACCAAAGCUUCGGAUUUUACUAACUCACCUUUGAUGAGUUCAGAUUCAUCCAUCGCUGUUGACAUCUCUUGUAGCUUCAUCAAACACUCUUCAAGUUGUUUUGUUUUCUCAGCCAGAGACUGUUCCAACUCGUUCUUUGCAAGCUCAUAUGCUUCCAGGGAUGCAGACUGAUCACGCAAUUGAGUAUAGCACUUCUCGAGUUCAUUUGACUUUUCAGCUAACGAUUGUUCCAGCUGCCCCUUCGCUACUUCGGAAGUUUCAAGGGCAAUCUUCAUCUCCUGUAACUCAUUCAACCUAUUCUCAAGCUCAGUUGUUUUCUCAGAUAUUUGAUGCUUGAGAGCAUCCCGGUUCUGAACUAACGCCUUCCCCUUUGUGACAGCCAUGCUGAGCUUCUCUUUCGUGUUAAUAAACCUUGUCUUUUCUUGCUCAAGCUCUGCCUUCAACUUUCCAGACUCUGCAUUCAUCGACUCAAUCAUCUCUCUAUCUCUGUUCACUUGCUCAACCAGUUUCUUAUUUUCAUCUUCUAGAAGGCCAAGUCUUUCGUAAAGCGAUGUUUCCUUCUGUUUGAGCUCAAGUAACUCAGAACAAGCACCACGGAGAGCUGAACCAAAAUCCUCUUGGAAACGAAGAUCCGCCUCAGCACUAGACAAACACUUCCUCAACUGAUCAGCACCGUAGUAAAACUCAGUAUACUUGGCACUUAAAAAGGCAACACCGUUCUCAAGAUGAGCAAUCUUCUCAGAGACGGAAGAGCCGUGCAUCAACUGUUGUUGCCCAAACACAUUACUAAGAGAAACCAAAACCCUAUCAGUUGCAGCCACAAGUUGCUCCUCGUCCUGUGAGGAAGAAAGCUCAGAGAUUUUGGUGGAGAGAUGAGCAAUCUCGUCGUCCUUGCCACUGAUAAUCCCACGAAGCUCCUUGAGUGCAUCCUCAUGCUGAACCUUGUCUUCCUCAGCAGUUUCUAAAAACUUUGAGAAACGGCAGAGUAUCUCCACGGUGUUCGCAUCUUCUUCACCUUUGGAAACGUUCUUCACAGCAGUCAAGAGGUUAAACUGUUCCUGCAACACUGCAAGUUCCUUCUCCCUAUCCACCUCCUUGUCAUUCUGUAACAUAAAAUGAACAAAGAUCCUUUCAAUAAAUACAAAUUAAAAAAUCAACAGACACUGGAUUAUUUACAUUAUCAUCGUCGUCGUCGUCUGUGGUGAGAGCUUCCUUGCUAGGUGUAUCGAAAUUCAACUCUUCGGGAGCAUCAACGAACAUAUCUUCCUUACUGUCGACGAAGGCUGUUCCCUGCAAAAUCAAUUAUUUUUUACCCAAAAUUUCAGCAUCUGAAAUUAACAAACAUUAAACGAUUCGGAAAAAAAAAAAAAGGAACAUUACAAAUUCUCACCUGGUCAGGAGGAUCAAGCUCUUGCUGCUCAUUUGACUCGUCAUCGUUCUCGAUUCCGUCAGCUGCAGAAUCAACCGAAUCCUGAGGAAGAUCAUCGGUCUCUUCCAUUAUGAAAAAUGAUUCCCUCAGCCAAGUUAGGCGAGUUUCUAAGCUGGAUUGGGAAAGCUCCUCCGGUAAGUCAAUGGAAAAGUCCAAAUCUUUUAGUCUGUUGUAUUCCUGGGAGACAUUUUGCAGCUCUUUCCUCUCUUCUACAAGUGACCUAACUUUGUCAAUGAUAUCGAGAGACUGCCCUUCCUCAGGUGUAUCUAUGUUUGACAAGAUGGUUUCAAUAUUUUCAAUGACAGAGCUCCUUGAGGACACCAUUUCCUGAAAUGACGCAACCAAAGCUUCCGAUUUUACUAACUCACCUUUGAUGAGUUCAGAUUCAUUCAACGCUGUUGACAUUUCUU
RNAcentral lists this long non-coding RNA (2048 nucleotides) under Brassica napus (rape). RNAcentral describes it as "long non-coding RNA (BNAP_LNC017390)". Lineage: Eukaryota; Viridiplantae; Streptophyta; Magnoliopsida; Brassicales; Brassicaceae. The record is from RNAcentral.